GACGAACGCUGGCGGCGUGCUUAACACAUGCAAGUCGAGCGGUAAGGCCCUUCGGGGUACGACGAGCGGCGAACGGGUGAGUAACACGUGGGUGACCUGCCUCUAGCUCUGGGAUAAGCCUGGGAAACUGGGUCUAAUACCGGAUAUGACUCCACGGCGCAUGUUGUGGGUGGAAAGCCUUGUGUGGCUAGAGAUGGGCCCGCGGCCUAUCAGCUUGUUGGUGGGGUGAUGGCCUACCAAGGCGACGACGGGUAGCCGGCCUGAGAGGGCGACCGGCCACACUGGGACUGAGACACGGCCCAGACUCCUACGGGAGGCAGCAGUGGGGAAUCUUGCGCAAUGGGCGAAAGCCUGACGCAGCGACG
Molecule: ribosomal RNA, 365 nt
Filed under: uncultured bacterium
Lineage: Bacteria
Description: bacterial SSU rRNA
Rfam family: Bacterial small subunit ribosomal RNA
Source: RNAcentral